RNAcentral lists this ribosomal RNA (575 nucleotides) under uncultured bacterium. RNAcentral describes it as "bacterial SSU rRNA". It matches the Rfam family "Bacterial small subunit ribosomal RNA", at positions 342 to 916 of the family's 1533-position model. The record is from RNAcentral.
CGGGAGGCAGCAGUGAGGAAUAUCGGUCAAUGGGCGGAAGCCUGAACCAGCCAUCCCGCGUGCAGGAAGACGGCCCUAUGGGUUGUAAACUGCUUUUCCAGGGGGCGAACAGCCUUGACGUGUCAGGGUUUGACGGUACCCUGGGAAUAAGCAUCGGCUAACUCCGUGCCAAGCAGCCGCGGUAAUACGGAGGAUGCGAGCGUUAUCCGGAUUUAUUGGGUUUAAAGGGUGCGUAGGCGGACAAAUAAGUCAGUGGUGAAACCCUGCAGCUUAACUGUAGAUGUGCCGUUGAUACUGUUAGUCUUGAGUAUGGUCAAGGUAGGCGGAAUGUGUAAUGUAGCGGUGAAAUGCUUAGAUAUUACACAGAACACCGAUUGCGAAGGCAGCUUGCUGGGCCAAUACUGACGCUGAUGCACGAAAGCGUGGGGAUCGAACAGGAUUAGAUACCCUGGUAGUCCACGCCGUAAACGAUGAUCACUCGCUGUUGGCGAUACACAGUCAGCGGCUAAGCAAAAGCAUUAAGUGUUCCACCUGGGGAGUACGGCCGCAAGGCUGAAACUCAAAGGAAUUGACGG